This 444-nucleotide ribosomal RNA is filed under the name Demospongiae sp. GW3236. RNAcentral describes it as "partial 28S large subunit ribosomal RNA". The record is from RNAcentral. Lineage: Eukaryota; Metazoa; Porifera; Demospongiae.
GCUCAGGGUGUCGAGGUUGUCGUGCUCUUUCGGAGUUCAGCCCGCGGUGGACUUCUGCCCGCCGUUGGUGCACUCGCCGUUGGAGUUGGACCGUCAGUCGGGAAGAGACCCUUGGGGCCUGCUUGUCGGCGGUUCGGGAGGUAUGCCUCGCGGUUUCCCUUCGGGGAGCCCGAGGUGACGUACAGCCGGCCGUCGUGGUCCCGGUUUUCUUUCAGGUGCGUUUGGAUGUCUGUUCGUCCGGAAUGGGAAGGCGCAGUCUCCCCGUCGUGGGAGGUCGAGCCGGUCCUGCGGUUGCGCUGCCCGGUGGGACUCGUGCUCCGUUCUCUCUCCGUUACCUCGUGUGCGGAGCAGGGUGCGGCGCGGCCCGCCGGUGAUGGUGUCCCUCGGGGCCUGCGUUCCAUGCCUCUGCGUCUAGGUGACUGGCGAAGAGUCGUUACCCUGUGC